GUUGAUGUAGACGGCGUGAAAACAGAAACAAGUAUGCCGGCUCACUGUGCUACAUACAGUUACACACUACGUCGUACGAUUGAGACAAGGAAACUUGGAAUGACUUUUCAUAGGUUUCCCAGAGACUAUGGGUUGAGGAGGAAUUGGAAGUUUGUCGGCUUAGACCUGGUGUCAUUCCAUCGGUGUUAAACUUCCCGGCUCAUCUUGGAAGAGUACGUGCCAGAAAGACCACGACCAAGCAGCCUUGAGAUCUUAGGCAGCGUCUCCCUCAGCCACCAACCACUGGAACACAUCUCCAAAGUUCUGCUGGGCCAGCUCAGCUUCCCCUCAGAAGAAGUGCCGCCACCUGCCAGAUGAAGGAGCCUUUUGAGAGGCAGCUGGCAUCGUGAUUGGACUGUACUUUGGUCUGUUCCAAUCCAGCUUCAGCUCCAGAGACGGCAGGCGGGACGAGUCAACGGAGGCCUGGUGGACGAAGGCAUG
This is a long non-coding RNA of Amphiprion ocellaris (clown anemonefish), 480 nucleotides long. Lineage: Eukaryota; Metazoa; Chordata; Actinopteri; Pomacentridae. The record is from Ensembl.